Small nucleolar RNA from Magnolia sinica, 107 nucleotides. The record is from RefSeq and is a predicted model, not a curated record. Lineage: Eukaryota; Viridiplantae; Streptophyta; Magnoliopsida; Magnoliales; Magnoliaceae.
AAACCAUGUUGUGGGCACAAACUAACAAGAUCCUUUAACUGCUCCCAACAUUGGAAGAAUGUUUCAUCUUCCUUUUGGACGAAGUUCAUGUUUGACUUUUUGAGUGU